GACGAACGCUGGCGGCGUGCUUAACACAUGCAAGUCGAACGAUGAAGCCCAGCUUGCUGGGUGGAUUAGUGGCGAACGGGUGAGUAACACGUGGGCAACCUGCCCCAAACUCUGGGAUAACUCCUCGAAAGAGGUGCUAAUACCGGAUACGAAAUGGACAGACAUCUGUACCAGUUGGAAAGUUUUUCGGUUUGGGAUGGGCCCGCGGCCUAUCAGCUUGUUGGUGAGGUCACGGCGCACCAAGGCUACGACGGGUAACCGGCCUGAGAGGGCGACCGGUCACACUGGGACUGAGACACGGCCCAGACUCCUACGGGAGGCAGCAGUGGGGAAUAUUGCGCAAUGGGCGAAAGCCUGACGCAGCGGCGCCGCGUGAGGGAUGAAGGUCUUCGGAUCGUAAACCUCUUUCAGUAGGGACGAAGCGAAAGUGACGGUACCUAAAGAAGAAGCACCGGCUAACUACGUGCCAGCAGCCGCCGUAA
RNAcentral lists this ribosomal RNA (482 nucleotides) under uncultured bacterium. RNAcentral describes it as "partial 16S ribosomal RNA". It matches the Rfam family "Bacterial small subunit ribosomal RNA", at positions 28 to 523 of the family's 1533-position model. The record is from RNAcentral.